AUUGAACGGCUGGCGGCGAUGCUUAACACAUCGCAAGUCGAACGGCAGCACAGAAGAGCUUGCUCUUUGGGGUGGCGAGUGGCGGACGGGUGAGUAACACGUAGGAAUCUACCCAGUAGUGGGGGAUAACCUGGGGAAACCCAGGCUAAUACCGCAUACGCCCUGAGGGGGAAAGCGGGGGGAUCUUCGGGACCUCGCGCUAUUGGAUGAGCCUGCGUCGGAUUAGCUAGUUGGUGGGGUAAGGGCCCACCAAGGCGACGAUCCGUAGCUGGGUCUGAGAGGAUGACCAGUCACACCGGAACUGAGACACGGUCCGGACUCCUACGGGAGGCAGCAGUGGGGAAUAUUGGACAAUGGGCGCAAGCCUGAUCCAGCCCAUGCCGCGUGGGUGAAGAA
RNAcentral lists this ribosomal RNA (396 nucleotides) under uncultured bacterium. Its description in RNAcentral is "bacterial SSU rRNA". It matches the Rfam family "Bacterial small subunit ribosomal RNA", at positions 35 to 412 of the family's 1533-position model. The record is from RNAcentral.